CAGAAUUUCACUGCCUAGCCCAGGCUAGUCUUGGAACCAGCAACGCUCACGCCACAACCAUGAGUGCUGAGACCACAGGUUAAAGAAAACAAAACUGAGCACGGCAGUGCAUGCCUGUAAUCCCAACAAUGGGAAGACAGGCAGGAAGAUAGCUCAAGGCUAGCCUGUACUACAGAAUGAGACCCUCGUCUCUGAGACUAAAUGGAGGGGGUGAAAGAGGAAACAACAUCAUAUCGUGCUAAGCUAGCAUUAAUGCUUCUUUUUAUUCUCUUACUUUAAUCCCUAAUUUAACCCUGACUUAUGGCAGAAGUCGGAGAGGAAAACAGGAGCACCGACAGGUCCACCAGAUUAGGUAGAAGAUGAUGGGAAUCACAUCUCAAGACACAGGGACAAACGACUUGAAAGAGACCAUGAAUAGUCAGUUCCAGGGAGAACCAAGAAGAGGCUUGCCAGUCUACUUAAAUCCAGCCUGUUUGUGUUGAAACAGUGAAGAUGUCCAACUGAAAACAGAGUCUCAUGGUGAAGACUGUCGCUCUGGAAAAGAGACCCGUAAAGAGAAAAGUGCUAAUGUUGAAUGUGCCGCCAGAUGCUACCUGAGAGUCUGUUUAAAAUGCAGACUGGGGAUCUGGAGAUAUGGUACCAAGGGAGGCUCACAACCUGUAACUCCAGCUCCAAGGGACCAUCAUCCUCUUCAGGCAUCACUGGACACACACACACACACACACACACACACACACACACACACACACACACAUAAAAUUAAAUUAAAAAUUUAAAAAAUAAAAUGCAGGAAUUUUUAAAACAGUGACACAGAA
This is a long non-coding RNA of Peromyscus eremicus (cactus mouse), 815 nucleotides long. RefSeq lists it as uncharacterized. The transcript is spliced from 2 exons. The record is from RefSeq and is a predicted model, not a curated record. Lineage: Eukaryota; Metazoa; Chordata; Mammalia; Rodentia; Cricetidae.